RNAcentral lists this ribosomal RNA (492 nucleotides) under uncultured bacterium. RNAcentral describes it as "partial 16S ribosomal RNA". It matches the Rfam family "Bacterial small subunit ribosomal RNA", at positions 28 to 507 of the family's 1533-position model. The record is from RNAcentral.
GGUGAACGCUGGCGGUAGGCCUAACACAUGCAAGUCGAACGGCAGCACAGUAAGAGCUUGCUCUUACGGGUGGCGAGUGGCGGACGGGUGAGGAAUACAUCGGAAUCUACUUUUUCGUGGGGGAUAACGUAGGGAAACUUACGCUAAUACCGCAUACGACCUACGGGUGAAAGCAGGGGAUCUUCGGACCUUGCGCGAUUGAAUGAGCCGAUGUUGGAUUAGCUAGUUGGCGGGGUAAAGGCCCACCAAGGCGACGAUCCGUAGCUGGUCUGAGAGGAUGAUCAGCCACACUGGAACUGAGACACGGUCCAGACUCCUACGGGAGGCAGCAGUGGGGAAUAUUGGACAAUGGGCGCAAGCCUGAUCCAGCCAUACCGCGUGGGUGAAGAAGGCCUUCGGGUUGUAAAGCCCUUUUGUUGGGAAAGAAAAGCAGCAGGUUAAUACCCCGCUGUUCUGACGGUACCCAAAGAAUAAGCACCGGCUAACUUCGUG